UUCCUUAAGUAUGGGUUACCAAAAGAAUGA
This 30-nucleotide non-coding RNA is filed under the name Rattus norvegicus (Norway rat). The record is from RNAcentral. Lineage: Eukaryota; Metazoa; Chordata; Mammalia; Rodentia; Muridae.